GAUUGCACAUUCUUCACUCGGAAAGAAAUCCUUCGAAUGACUGAUCAGAAAGGCAUGCGGUUCCCUUGUCCAAAGUUGCAUGGCCGGUACCAUGAAAUGGCACCAAAUGUUGUGCCCAUGGACUAUACAAAGGACCCAGAUGUUAAACUACCUAUGCAGCUUAUAAUAAACAUGCCUGAGCUAAAGGUAUUGUUUCUGACUGCUUACAAACUUUAUCUUGCUAAGCUCUGUAGCUUGCCUCUUGGAGGUUUUGCCAAGUGAGUUUGGUACCAUGAAGCAAAAUGGCAUGCUAAGGUCUUCCCUUUUCCAUUACUGUUCAAGGGCAAAACCAGCCACAGAAACAGGAAGAUAUUUAGGUAGAUGUCUCCCUUGCAGAGAUGGAUGGGAUCAGAAGUUAAUGGAAACAUGCAGAAAAUUAAAUUGAAUUUAACACACUUUCCACUCUGUACAUAUAAAUCCUUUUGAAGACAGUAGGAUCUGUGUUUGAAUAGCUGGUACUAAAAGAAUAAGAAGUUCUGUGAACUUUUACUUGAAAUCUAUUUCAAAUUUCUUUCACUUUACAUUAACCUAAAAAAAAAUUCCCCACAACUGAAUUUCUGAAGUACUGCUUAUAUUUGUACUUUUUCCAAACACUGGGGCAAUGUCAUAUAUUGAACAAGAAGCACAUUUCACUUCCUUCAGAAGUAUUUGACAAUCAUUUUACAUAAACGGAAACAUAAGAGAUUUUCGCACCAUAAGGAUUUAAUUAAACAAAAGAUCUUUGGAAAAACUUUCAACAUUGUCAUUCCUGUGGCUUACCA
RNAcentral lists this long non-coding RNA (800 nucleotides) under Apteryx rowi (Okarito brown kiwi). RNAcentral's name for it is "lncRNA (ENSARWG00000014634.1)". The record is from RNAcentral. Lineage: Eukaryota; Metazoa; Chordata; Aves; Apterygiformes; Apterygidae.